AUUGAACGCUGGCGGCAUGCCUUACACAUGCAAGUCGAACGGCAGCACGGGAGCAAUCCUGGUGGCGAGUGGCGAACGGGUGAGUAAUGUAUCGGAACGUGCCCAGUCGUGGGGGAUAACGUAGCGAAAGCUACGCUAAUACCGAAUACGAUCUAUGGAUGAAAGCGGGGGAUCGCAAGACCUCGCGCGAUCGGAGCGGCCGAUAUCAGAUUAGGUAGUUGGUGGGGUAAAGGCUCACCACGCCGACGAUCUGUAGCUGGUCUGAGAGGACGACCAGCCACACUGGGACUGAGACACGGCCCAGACUCCUACGGGAGGCAGCAGUGGGGAAUUUUGGACAAUGGGCGCAAGCCUGAUCCAGCAAUGCCGCGUGCAGGAUGAAGGCCUUCGGGUUGUAAACUGCUUUUGUACGGAACGAAACGGCGAGCUCUAAUACAGUUUGCUAAUGGCGGUACCGUAAGAAUAAGCACCGGCUAACUACGUGCCAGCAGCCGCCGUAA
RNAcentral lists this ribosomal RNA (500 nucleotides) under uncultured bacterium. Its description in RNAcentral is "partial 16S ribosomal RNA". It matches the Rfam family "Bacterial small subunit ribosomal RNA", at positions 30 to 523 of the family's 1533-position model. The record is from RNAcentral.